RNAcentral lists this unclassified non-coding RNA (683 nucleotides) under Hevea brasiliensis (rubber tree). Lineage: Eukaryota; Viridiplantae; Streptophyta; Magnoliopsida; Malpighiales; Euphorbiaceae. The record is from RNAcentral.
CCUCAUUCACAAUUUCUGCUUUGUUUUCUACACUUCUACCACGCAAACCAGCCGCUUGCACUGUGAGCCGUUUUGCCAACAAAGAAGUCAUAUUUAAUUCCGUCACAGCUCCACCCAUGAAGCCAAUGAUAAAAAGCCUCCCAUCAAAAUUCAAGCUGUCCAGGUUUCUCUGAAAGUAGGAUGCACCAAUACAAUCCAAAAUAACAUCAACACCUUUCCCACCAGUUUCUUCCUUCACCCGUGCAACAAAGUCCUCUGUUUUGUAAUUGAUGCACACAUCAGCUCCAAGUUCCUUACAAGCAGCUAGUUUUUCCUCACUGCCUGCAGUGACAAACACCCUAACCCCUUUAUAUUUAGCUAUCUGAAUUGCAAAAGUCCCAAUCCCACUAGAGCCUCCAUGAAUCAGAAAGGUUUCCCCAGCAGACAGCCGACUCAUCAUAAAAACAGUGGACCAAACAGUACAUGCCACCUCAGGGAAAGCAGCAGCAUCCUUGAGGGAAAUGCCAGGCGGGACAGGAAGAACUUGUCCCGCUGGAACUGCCACUUUCUCCGCGUAGGCACCUCCACCAAGAAGAGCACACACCUGAUCACCCACUUUCCAGCGAGAAACGAGUUUCCCAACGGCUUCGAUGGUGCCGGAGCAUUCAAGACCCGGGUAGGGGCUAGCACCCUUGGGAGGCGGG